This 563-nucleotide ribosomal RNA is filed under the name Pristimantis ridens (pygmy robber frog). Its description in RNAcentral is "partial 16S ribosomal RNA". It matches the Rfam family "Bacterial large subunit ribosomal RNA", at positions 1817 to 2596 of the family's 2925-position model. The record is from RNAcentral. Lineage: Eukaryota; Metazoa; Chordata; Amphibia; Anura; Strabomantidae.
CACCUCUUGCAAUCAAUAAGAGGCCCAGCCUGCCCAGUGACUCUGUUCAACGGCCGCGGUAUCCUAACCGUGCUAAGGUAGCGUAAUCACUUGUUUUCUAAAUAAAGACUAGUAUGAAAGGCAUCACGAGGAUUAAGCUGUCUCCUUUCUCUAAUCAGUGAAACUAAUCUCCCCGUGAAGAGGCGGGGAUAACCUUAUAAGACGAGAAGACCCUAUGGAGCUUUAAACAUUAUUACAAUGCCUAUAAUAUUACAAAUACUACGGUUCCUACCACCACCCGCACACUGAUUUUAUGUUUUCGGUUGGGGUGACCGCGGAGAACAAAUUAUCCUCCACGAUGAAAAGAAACUCUUCUUAAACUAUAAGCUACAGCUUUAAUUAUCAUUAAUUUGACAUAAAUUGACCCAAUAUUUUGACCAACGAACCAAGUUACCCUAGGGAUAACAGCGCAAUCCACUUCAAGAGUCCUUAUCGACAAGUGGGCUUACGACCUCGAUGUUGGAUCAGGGUAUCCCAGUGGUGCAGCCGCUACUAAAGGUUCGUUUGUUCAACGAUUAAAACCC